AGAGAGAAUAAUAACUGAAAGUAUAUAGGUCCUGGAUCUUUCUUAGGUUUGCUUCAUUCAGAUACUGAUCAAGAAUGCAAAUUGCUUAUCUCCAACAGGCUUCUUUAGCUAUUUCUGCAUAUUAUCUUCUUCUUCUUCUGCCAUUAGUUGUUUGCUCAUCUCAUGAAGAUCAUCAGUUCAAUCCCAGAGGCAGUCACAAAAGCAUUAAGGACAACUUUCACAAGGUAACUCAUCUUUUCUGAAUAACCUUUUUUAAGCUUUCAGAUAAAUUCUUAACUUCUUCUCCUUGUUUGGCUGUUUUGUAUUUUGUAGUUGGGUUCUCAGAUGACUUUUAAUGUUACAGUUCAUGGAAUCCUCUUAUGGUUUUCAAUGGGGCUCUUAAUGCCUAUUGGAAUACUUGUUAUCAGAAUGUCUGUUAGAGAAGAACAAGGGACAACAAGGGCCAAAGUUCUCUUCUAUUUCCAUGUAAUUUUCCAGAUACUGUCGGUGCUUGUUGCCACAGCUGGAGCUGUGAUGUCCAUCAAAAACUUUGAGAACUCAUUCGAUAAUAGCCACCAAAGAUUAGGCCUAGCACUUUAUGUUGCCAUCUGGGUUCAAGCCUUGAUUGGAUUAUUCAGGCCUCACAGGGGAAAGAAGGAAAGAAGUGUGUGGUACAUAGUGCAUUGGAUGCUUGGAACAGUUAUAUCACUAGUGGGGAUCAUCAACAUAUACACAGGCUUGAAUGCUUACCACAACAGAACAAGAAGAAGCUCAGGGCUUUGGAUUAUCCUUUUCACAGCAGAGUUGUGUGUGAUUGUUGUUUACUAUCUAUUCCAAGACAAAAGAGAUUACAUACAAAACCAAGGAGUGGUUACAGACAAUGAUUUCAAUCUAGCAGUCAGGCAAUUAGAUCAAGAACUUGCUCAAAGGCAGAACCAAACGGAGUUGAUGCCUCAGCAACCAUGUGGCAAACGAAAUGCACUCAAGAACUUAAGCGGUGAGCGGCAAGCAUCAAAAAAUCUUUGAAUGGAAGAAGAAGAGCCCAAGAAGAGGAGGGUGGUGGUGGAAUCUCUGGGAUGGCUGACGGAGUCGACCAUCAUGCCCAAGAAGCACCGCGCCAUCGCCGGCGUCGGAGCCUCUUCCAUCAUGGAGCUCAAGGCCCAGCUCUACCAGUCUCAAGAAGAUUCCAAGAAGUCCAAGGACCUCGCCGGCUCUGACGCCGACUUCCUCCGCGCCAAGAAGAAGAUCACCGCACACGACGCCUUCUCCGCCAAGAACUCCGGCGUCGACGCCCGGGCCCACAAGGACAAGCUUGAGCUGAAGGCAGUUAAGGAUGGAUCAGCAAGCUAUGCAGCCUUGGAGAAAAAGGCUGCAUUGUAUGAGAAGCUAGCGAGGGGGGAGCUAUCCGAUGAGGAAGACAAGGAAAAGUAUUGUGUGGAUUUCUUUGUUAAGAGACAUGAGCAGGAUGAGUCGGAGCAGACUCAGCGUCACGAUUCGUCUGCUGUCGCACCACUGGAAGAUCAAGAUGGCGAGACUGAUCUUUCUACGUUGUUUAGCAGAAAACCUGUGGGGCUUGGGCACGCAGGUGCGACAUGGGACAAUGAUGAACACAAGCGAUUUGUGAGGGAAGUUCAUCAAGAAGCGAAUCAAGCAAGAGAGAAAGCCUCGGAGCUCAAAGUACGCAGGCAAGAGCAGGCAACUGCUCGUCGUGAGAAGUUAAAACAAGCAUACAUCCGGAAACAGCUAGAGAAACUAAAAGCAGCAGCACCGAAUAAGGAACAGAUAUAAUAGCAGAAGACAAUUGUCAUUUUGUACAAUAUUCUAGCAGUCAUAAUGAGCUCACCUGCAUAACCAUACGGCACUUUCUCCAUUCUGAGUCUUGUUGAUGUGGAGCAAACUCUAGGUGGAUGAAAAGGGCAAGAAACUGUUUCAAAGAAAAGAGGGGCAUGGAAUCCACUUAUACUGUCUUGGAAGAAAGGAAUUUGUCAGGUUUACUCCAACAAAACGAUCUCUGUUGUUACUUUCAUGUCAGACUUCUGUACAGUGGUUAAUAUGUUGUUUUGUACUUCAUUGGCUGAUUAGCCUGAUUAUGUCAAGCUGAAAGUAUGAAAAUUGUUUCGGAUCUCAAAAUUACACACGCACUAGUUUCACACGUCUUCAAGUUAUCUUUCUUAUC
This is an RNA transcript of Fragaria vesca subsp. vesca, 2155 nucleotides long. RefSeq lists it as uncharacterized. NCBI's taxonomy places the organism in Eukaryota, Viridiplantae, Streptophyta, Magnoliopsida, Rosales, Rosaceae. The transcript has 6 exons. The record is from RefSeq and is a predicted model, not a curated record.